This 1359-nucleotide ribosomal RNA is filed under the name uncultured bacterium. RNAcentral's name for it is "partial 16S ribosomal RNA". It matches the Rfam family "Bacterial small subunit ribosomal RNA", at positions 28 to 1381 of the family's 1533-position model. The record is from RNAcentral.
AUUGAACGCUGGCGGCAGGCCUAACACAUGCAAGUCGAGCGGAUGAGGGGAGCUUGCUCCUGGAUUCAGCGGCGGACGGGUGAGUAAUGCCUAGGAAUCUGCCUGGUAGUGGGGGAUAACGUCCGGAAACGGGCGCUAAUACCGCAUACGUCCUGAGGGAGAAAGUGGGGGAUCUUCGGACCUCACGCUAUCAGAUGAGCCUAGGUCGGAUUAGCUAGUUGGUGGGGUAAAGGCCUACCAAGGCGACGAUCCGUAACUGGUCUGAGAGGAUGAUCAGUCACACUGGAACUGAGACACGGUCCAGACUCCUACGGGAGGCAGCAGUGGGGAAUAUUGGACAAUGGGCGAAAGCCUGAUCCAGCCAUGCCGCGUGUGUGAAGAAGGUCUUCGGAUUGUAAAGCACUUUAAGUUGGGAGGAAGGGCAGUAAGUUAAUACCUUGCUGUUUUGACGUUACCAACAGAAUAAGCACCGGCUAACUUCGUGCCAGCAGCCGCGGUAAUACGAAGGGUGCAAGCGUUAAUCGGAAUUACUGGGCGUAAAGCGCGCGUAGGUGGUUCAGCAAGUUGGAUGUGAAAUCCCCGGGCUCAACCUGGGAACUGCAUCCAAAACUACUGAGCUAGAGUACGGUAGAGGGUGGUGGAAUUUCCUGUGUAGCGGUGAAAUGCGUAGAUAUAGGAAGGAACACCAGUGGCGAAGGCGACCACCUGGACUGAUACUGACGCUGAUGUGCGAAAGCGUGGGGAUCAAACAGGAUUAGAUACCCUGGUAGUCCACGCCGUAAACGAUGAGUGCUAAGUGUUAGGGGGUUUCCGCCCCUUAGUGCUGCAGCUAACGCAUUAAGCCCUCCGCCUGGGGAGUACGACCGCAAGGUUGAAACUCAAAGGAAUUGACGGGGACCCGCACAAGCGGUGGAGCAUGUGGUUUAAUUCGAAGCAACGCGAAGAACCUUACCAAAUCUUGACAUCCUCUGACCCCUCUAGAGAUAGAGUUUUCCCCUUCGGGGGACAGAGUGACAGGUGGUGCAUGGUUGUCGUCAGCUCGUGUCGUGAGAUGUUGGGUUAAGUCCCGCAACGAGCGCAACCCUUAAGCUUAGUUGCCAUCAUUAAGUUGGGCACUCUAAGUUGACUGCCGGUGACAAACCGGAGGAAGGUGGGGAUGACGUCAAAUCAUCAUGCCCCUUAUGAUUUGGGCUACACACGUGCUACAAUGGACAAUACAAAGGGUAGCGAAACCGCGAGGUCAAGCAAAUCCCAUAAAGUUGUUCUCAGUUCGGAUUGUAGUCUGCAACUCGACUAUAUGAAGCUGGAAUCGCUAGUAAUCGUAGAUCAGCAUGCUACGGUGAAUACGUUCCCGGGUCU